CGCGGCCUAUCAGCUUGUUGGUGGGGUAACGGCCUACCAAGGCAACGACGGGUAGCUGGUCUGAGAGGACGAUCAGCCACACUGGGACUGAGACACGGCCCAGACUCCUACGGGAGGCAGCAGUGGGGAAUCUUGCGCAAUGGGCGAAAGCCUGACGCAGCAACGCCGCGUGAGGGACGAAGGUCUUCGGGUUGUAAACCUCUUUCAGCAUGGACGAUUGUGACGGUACCUGCGGAAGAAGCCCCGGCCAACUACGUGCCAGCAGCCGCGGUAAUACGUAGGGGGCGAGCGUUGUCCGGAUUCAUUGGGCGUAAAGAGCUCGUAGGCGGCUUGGUUAGUUGGGUGUGAAACCUCCAGGCUUAACCUGGAGACGCCACUCAAUACUGCCAUGGCUAGAGUCCGGUAGGGGACCACGGAAUUCCUGGUGUAGCGGUGAAAUGCGCAGAUAUCAGGAGGAACACCGGUGGCGAAGGCGGUGGUCUGGGCCGGCACUGACGCUGAGGAGCGAAAGCGUGGGGAGCGAACAGGAUUAGAUACCCUGGUAGUCCACGCCGUAAACGUUGGGCACUAGGUGUGGGGGAUUAUCAACGUCCUCCGUGCCGUAGCUAACGCAUUAAGUGCCCCGCCUGGGGAGUAC
RNAcentral lists this ribosomal RNA (637 nucleotides) under uncultured bacterium. RNAcentral's name for it is "bacterial SSU rRNA". It matches the Rfam family "Bacterial small subunit ribosomal RNA", at positions 232 to 883 of the family's 1533-position model. The record is from RNAcentral.